RNAcentral lists this long non-coding RNA (2343 nucleotides) under Homo sapiens (human). RNAcentral's name for it is "HSALNT0010525". Lineage: Eukaryota; Metazoa; Chordata; Mammalia; Primates; Hominidae. The record is from RNAcentral.
AGCGCGGUUGGAACAAAGCCGGGGAAGAAGGGGGAUCAACCUGCUUGCUGCAUCUUCUGGAUUGCUGUCUUCCCGAGCUGGACGCUUGCUUGCUCUCCUCCUGCCCGUGGACAUCUAGACUCCAGGUUCUUCGGCCUUUAGACUCUGGGACUGCACCUGUGGCUUGCCGAGUGCAUAUGAACUGGGACCAUGUGGGAAAAUGUAAUUUACCAAACCACACAGAGGAGAAAGUCUCUUCCAGGGGACACAGCUGAUGCGGGAAUAAAGACACAGAAGGCCAAGCUUACUCCUUGGGAGAGGUGACAAAGGCAAACCCAAAGUCAGUUCCACUGAAAUCUUCAAUGCCUUCUCUUUGUCAUCAUCAUUGCUAACAAUUAACAAGCUUGUACCAGGUGCCGGGCAUGGUUGGAAAGGUUUUGGAUAUAUUGCCAAUCAACCCUCAUAACAGACCUUUGAAAUAGAUAGUAUUAUUUUUCCUGUUUUACUGAUGAAGAAGCCAAGGAAUAGAGAAACUUGUUCAAGAUCACACAGUUAGUAAGGGGUGGAGCUGGAUUCAGACCCCAGGCAACCUCACUUGUUAGAAUACAAUGCUCAGUGCUACAUGCCUCUGAGAAAGCAACAUAGAAUAUUGGAAUUUUGGAAUUAGAGAAGACCACAAAAGUUUUGGUUUUUUGGGGGUUUUUUUGAGACAGAGUCUCUCUCUGCCGCCCAGGCUGGAGUGCAAUGGCGUGAUCUCGGCUCACUGCAACCUCCACCUCCUGGGUUCGAGCAAUUCUCCUGCCUCAGCCUCCUGGGUAGCUGGGAUUACAGGAAUCCAACACCACACCUGGCUAAUUUUUUGUAUUUUUAGUAGAGACAGGGUUUUGCCAUGUUGGCCAGGCUGGUCUCGAACUCCUGACCUCAGGUGAUCCACCUUCCUUGGCCUCCCAAAGUGCUGGGAUUACAGGUGUGAGGCACUGCACCCGGCCAUUGUUUUAAGCAAAGAAAUUUUUUUCACAUCAUACUGUGUAAUUCCAACGUCUAAAACUUUUUUAAAGGAGGAUUUACUUCCAGUCUAGCUUAGGUAGAGACUGUGCUUCUCCCUCGUUUCCUAUUGAGGUCACUGUGGUGCCUUUGUUUUGUGCAACUCUUCUGGGAAACUAUUGUCCCACUCCAAUCACUUCUACUUAGAGAUGAGAAACCUGGGCCCAGAGCUUUAAAAGAACCUCCCCAGGGCACCCAUUUAGUAUGUGCAUAAGCCAGUGCUUUUCUAAUACUACCUCAUAGUACACAUAUAUAUUAUUCAGAACUCCUUUUGUUGUAAGAAACAGAAACCCAACUCAAAUUUGCUUAGACAGAAAAAGGAAUUUAUUAGUUCAAAUAACUAGGCAGUUCAAGGACAAUCUGGGUCAGAUAUAACUAGCUCCAUGAGCCCAAUAUUAACAGAAGAGGUUCUGUUCUUCCUACCAUUUGUUAGCUCUGCCUCCCUAUGAACUGACUUCAUUCUCAGAUGGGUUCUCAGCACCAUACACCUAUACCAGAACAGCUCUAGAUGUGCAGGAUCCCUGAAUGGGGAACUGAAUAGUCACUAUCAUCUGUGUAUUCUUCUUGUAAGGAAGAUUUGGUUGGCUUUUAUUUUUGUUGAUGGUAUGACUAAGUUAGGUCACCUGCUCCCUUGCCCCAAUUUAAAAAAAAAUAAAAGAAAUGAACACGUAGUGGUCCAUAACAUGGACCACUAUCCUUGGCACGUCUGAUAAAAGUGAAUUCCUGGAAUCCAGGCAAUCUGUUCCACUGAUCUUUUUUCCCACCUAUAUCACACCAUCUUGAUUACAGUAGUUUUACCAAACUCAGGUAGAGAAACUCUUCUAGAUGUUGUUGUUCCUGCUCUCCUUCUCCUUUUCUUUUUCUUCUUCCUUCUUCACCUUCUUCUAUUAGAUUUAUUGAUGUAUAAUUUACAUAUAAUAAAAUUCAUCAAUUUUAAGUGUGAAAUUUGACAAGUGCUUAUAAAUAAUAAAGUCUCAUAAUCAUCACAGUCAUGGUAUAGAACAGUUUCAAAACUCCGAAAACUUUCCUUGUGCUUCUUUGCAAUUGAUGCCCUGUUAUCACCUUCUAGGCCCUAGCGUCUACCUUCUUUCAUGUAAUUAGAGUCAGUAUGUUGCCUGUUGUGUCUGGUUUCUUUCACUUAACAUAAUGCUUUCAGAUUCAUUUCUCUUUUUGCAUUUAUCAGUUUGUUCCUUUCUAAUUUUUAGUGGUACUACCUUAUAUGAAUAUGCCAACAUUCGUUUAUUCAUUCACAAGUUCAUGUACAUUUGCAUUUUUUCUAGUUUUUUGCUAUUGCAAAUAAAGCUUCUAUGAACAUCUGUG